UACGGAGGAUCCGAGCGUUAUCCGGAUUUAUUGGGUUUAAAGGGAGCGUAGGUGGAUUAUUAAGUCAGUUGUGAAAGUUUGCGGCUCAACCGUAAAAUUGCAGUUGAAACUGGCAGUCUUGAGUACAGUAGAGGUGGGCGGAAUUCGUGGUGUAGCGGUGAAAUGCUUAGAUAUCACGAAGAACUCCGAUUGCGAAGGCAGCUCACUGGACUGCAACUGACACUGAGGCUCGAAAGUGUGGGUAUCAAACAGG
Molecule: ribosomal RNA, 253 nt
Filed under: uncultured bacterium
Lineage: Bacteria
Description: partial 16S ribosomal RNA
Rfam family: Bacterial small subunit ribosomal RNA
Source: RNAcentral